Molecule: long non-coding RNA, 4235 nt
Filed under: Canis lupus familiaris (dog)
Lineage: Eukaryota; Metazoa; Chordata; Mammalia; Carnivora; Canidae
Description: lncRNA (ENSCAFG00000056681.1, ENSCAFG00845011682.1)
Source: RNAcentral
CAGUCAUAGUGUUUAUCAAUUUUCUGGUAGGAUGAUGCUGGCUUUCAUAGUUGGUACCAAACUUGAUGGGAACUGCAGUCGUUGUGUAAAUUGGAAUUUGCUCCUGGAGACUGUAUGGUUGAAACCCUCAAGCAUUUGGUGGAACCUCUAGUGGUUUUAGAUGGAUGCAAACACUGACGUCUUCAGAGAAAGUUGAUCUUGGCACAGAUUUGGGUGAUGUGGUAUUUUUUUUUCCCCUCUGAUUCUCCUGCAUCUUCCUUUCUCACUGCUGAAGGCAUGGAGGGAGAGGUCUGUCCCUUUCAAACAGAGAGAUUACAGUCAUGGGGGCCUAAAGAUGCUCGCUGGCCUCAGAGAGAGCCAGGGAAGGAUGAAGCCAGUCACAGAUUAAAACCUCAUAGAAGUUUGAUUUAAAGUAUUUUAUUUCAGAUUUUUACUCUGUGCAGCAACACUUGUCUAAGAGAUUACUUUCGCCUGGCAAAAGAGGGAUGUAGUAGCCUGUCCAGUCCCAGCGCCAAGGCCUCCUGGGCACCUGGAGCUGAAGUGCCAGUCUGGGCAGAGCCUGGCCAGCCCUGGGGAAGGCAGUUGGGACCCAGCCUGGCUCUGAGGGCUGGGCUCUGGGAGGCGGACCACACCCCGAGUCCUCAGGGCACCAUGACUCCCCUGGGACGAAGGCUCUUGCCCACGGGUAGGCGUGAAGUGUAUCCAAUGUGUUGGAUGCUUCUGCUCAGAGCUUUGGACUCUGUUGAAAACAUGUCUACUCUUCUAAAGCCUGCAGCUUCAUCUGCUUUUCUUUGAUGCUUUCCUAGUGAUUGAGACUUUGGUUAAGCCACAGGCAGUCUCUUGAGGAGAGAAAGCACGUAACUCUGUCUGCACAUGUAUGCAAAUCCGUGCUCCUGACAGCAAAGCCUGGAGUAGCGCCUCCGUGUGUCAUGUCCUCCGUGUGGCCCCAGCUCACCUUUUCUUGCAGAUACUCCUGUGCUAUUUUAGGAGAAAUAAAAUAUUUCUCAAAAUAUUUGGUUCUCAAAUAUUUGGGUUCUCAAAACUGGCCCUCACAGAUCAAUAGUGUGUGGAGGCAGUGUGUGGCCAGUUUGGUGAUUCUGGAAGGCAGUGAUGAUUUAAGUGGUCCCCUUGUGUCUCUGUGUUCAAAACCAAGCAACCAUGAAGUUGUGUCACCACUGCUUGAUUGUCUUUUUCUCCAUAUUUUGCUUAUACAGGAAAAUAAUGACAUUAAACAGGUAGCAAAAGGCAAAAGGCAAAAAAAAAAAACACAAAAAACAAAAAACAGCAGCACUUUCUAGGCUGAAGGCUAUUGCCAAUUAAUUCUCUUUAGCAAAAUAAAAAGGUGCUUCUUGCCCAGGCACUGCCAUUAACUCGUUUGCCACCUUAGGGAGACGCAGACAUAACGCCACCUUCCUUGAACUUUGCAAACCUUCCUGGCUUUUUAUAAAAUCUCGUGUUUCUUCUCUCCUCAGCAGAUACUUCUGAGAUCAUUAAGAACUGUCUGGUUGAAAAGGUAAUUUGAAAUAUUUGACCUUCUACAUUGCUUUUAUUUAGAAACCAAUCUCUGACAGAAAACACCCUCAAUAUGUUAAAUCUGGAACUUUCUUCUGAAAAGGAAUGUUCUGGGUUGACUUUUCUUCACACCAGUAGAUGGCAUUUAUAUACUCUUAGACUGGAAACAGAGGAAUGGGUCCUGAUGUGUUUUCCCUUCUCUGGUCUGGAUCAUGUUUUUAUUUCAUUUGGAUUUAAUUUCUCAACCUUGGGGAUUUUUCCCCCCUCUCUAGUUUUUCUUAUUCCUAAACAGUAAAGAAAAAAGUUACCUACAAGUACGCUGAGCUUGAAUCAAUGGCAACUUGCCUAGAAUAAAAUUCAGCUUAUGGAUUCUUGAAUAGUACAUCUUUUUCAUAGAGUUAGCUUGUUGUCUGCAUUUUUAUGCCAAGACUUCAAUUCAGGUUACUGCUUAUCUAGACACCUGUGAGUGGCAUGUUUUCUUUGGGAUGCAUCGUACACAGAGGCCAGAGAGCCUUCAGUAAGGGGUUAGUAGCCUGGACUGUAGUGCGCUAUCAGAACUUUUAUGGUUCUAAUUUAGAGUAGGAACUUCUCAAAGGACCUUGAUCAGCUUUGUUGAUGGGAUCAGGGCGAGGCUGGAAGUUUCUUUUCCUAAUUGUGCCUCAGAGGAUAGAAAGUAGGACACGGUUGAUUCGGGUGAUGGUUUGUAUGGGACUUGGUAAUAGUCUGAACCUGUCAAAUCUGAGAAACCCCAGUAGGAAGCACCCCAUUUUACCAGGACACGAGGACAGUGUGGGGACCUGAUGUGCAUGCCAGGCAGGGCCAGUCUGACGGCUGCCUCCCUCUGUGGGCCAUUUUGCUUUCUUGCCUUUUCCAGAAUCGGUUUUGCAAGUUUUGAGAUCCUGUUCCCUUCUCUGCAGAAGCGAGGAAGGCAAAUAAUCAGGGCUUGAAGGGAGAACUGGUUGGUCCAAGGGCCGGCCCCCCCGGGGAGGACGCAGGCAGGAGGCCUGAUGCACCUCCAAGCUGGCCCCGGCCCACACCGGGGCUGCCUACUUCCAGCGCUUUCACUCUGUAAUCCAUUUUAAAAAUGAGCUUUCAGAUCCUGCCUCAUGAUGAAACUAACGUAUGUGGAUAAAACCAGUGCUUUUAAUAACUUGAUUUUGAUAUGGUUCCCACUGAAAGAAUGUAGGGAUCGAAACUAUUUGUAUAUGUCGAGAUUUGUAGGGGUUCAGGAACCCGUGGCAAAAACACUUAACUAUUUAUUAUAGGUAUGACUGUAUGUUUUUUCCCCCAAAACAGGUAAUUCUGUCUUUGUAUAUUUUAAGACAAAUAAGAAUUGCUUCACCUUCGGUGCCUUCUGUGCGUGAGUCACACAAACACUUGUCAAUCAUGGAAUUGAAAAAAAGAUGUACAUUUAGUUAAACCAGAUGACACUAUUUUUGUAGCAUGAUUUUAGAUUGUGUCCUUUUAAUAUUGCUUUUAGCAAUGAUGGUUUUGAGGUUUGGCCAUUAUCCCUUUUAGACUUCGUUACAUAUUUUGAAAAAAUUAAAGAAACAAUACCCACCUUGGCUAUUCCUGCCUCCUCUCUGCUGCUUUCUCCCCAAUGAUUUGUUUCUGCUUAUUUCAACAGUCUGAGAGUAAGAGUAUAUUUCUGUGAAAUAAUUAUGAAUCCGUAUAACUGCAUUUGGCAUUUUUAAACCACUUGGUCACUUGGAGCCACCGCUCACCUCAAACAGAAAGAGGAAAGUGGUUUCAUAAAAAAGAAUGGACGUCCGCGGUGCCCUGACCUCCCCCCUCUCUGGGGUGGAGAUGGUGCAGAGCCCCCGUGUCGCAACCCCGGUGUCCUGGCCUGGCGAGGGCGGUCCUGGGCCUGGCGUCUGCGGACGGCUCAGGCCACCCCCGGCCCUGCGUCCCCCUCCGCCCGCUGGCCUCCUCAGAUCUCACAUGGGCUCGGUGCCCCUUUCUGGCUUUCUGCCUGGACAAAAUAGGUGCCCUGCUGUGCGGAGCCCCAUGAAGUCGAGACCCAGCUAACCCGCUAGCUGCUCCUUUGGCUUUCCCACCCCUGUAGGACGCGAGUUCUGUCUGGUCAAGAAAAAUCUCGAGUAAACUAGCUGAGCCGUUGCAAAGUGAAGGAAUGGAUUUACUGAAACAUGAUAUUACAGCUCCUCUUUUGUCCUUUGGAAGGGUCAGACUACGUAAUUAUUUUAACGAAGGAAGUCAAGUCAGAUGGCUGGUAACUGCAGUGAUUCUUCACUGGUACUUGGCCCAGUGGCACUUCUGGGGGGCGACGUUAAUUUAACAACUAUGACAUUUUGCUUCUGAAAAGUCUAUUUCCUUUACUAGUUUGGACACAGCUGUGGGGCAUUCGGAAGGAUGCCACUUGGCACGCAUUGGUUUAUGCUGCUGGGGCGGGGGGGGGGGGGGUGUCUCCCGGCUUCUCGAACCCUGGCUCGUGGGUUGGACUCUGUCCACGUGGAGCAGGUCUGGGGCCCCAGAGCCUUUGCCCCCGGUGGUUUGUCCCUGACAGCAGACAAAGCCUCACAUUGCCCUCGGUUUUGCCCCUUUGUUUCUUUUGAAGGACCUAUUUUUCAUGGUACUUGUGCUGAUUGUUUUCAUAGUGUUCAAAUCUGUAUUUUUGUAUGUAGAGGGAAAUAAUUUUCUCAACACUAAUCGCUAAUAAAUAUUGUACUAAAUUGUCAUGAAGGAAUUGUUUAAUAAAUGGACAC